Prinia subflava (tawny-flanked prinia) is the source of this 453-nucleotide long non-coding RNA. RefSeq lists it as uncharacterized. The transcript is spliced from 3 exons. Lineage: Eukaryota; Metazoa; Chordata; Aves; Passeriformes; Cisticolidae. The record is from RefSeq and is a predicted model, not a curated record.
CAGACUUGCUGUCUGAAAGGCUCACAGAAACAGUCUUGUGCUUCUUGCUUAUACACAACACACCACUUUACACACAAGAGGAAAAUUUGGAAAGUAUCCUAAGCUUCAUCUUUAGCUCAACUGUUUCUCCUGAGCCUCUCAGGGGAAAAAAAUUCUCUUUUUCUUGUAUCUUAACAGCUAAGGAAGCUCUCCACAAAGUUCCACUUUGCUUUCUCAUUCUAACAAAUUAAAUAAAGCAGAAAUAACUUGUGACUGAACCAAGUUUGCCAGCCCUUGCUAAUUGUGGAUCCAGCUUUCCCUUCAAACAGGAUCUUUUCUUCCCAAGUGCAUGCUCCAAGGAGCUCCGCACCCCCUGCCCUGCUGGGACACCCUGCGGUCUCUGCCUGCACCCCAGCGGUUCCAGCCACAGCUGCGGAGUUUUUGAAACAUCUCACCUACCAACCGCUCUGCGGC